CCAAAUUUUCUGAGCAACCAAGCAACAGGAAUCAGAAAAGUAUCACCAUAUUCAAGAAGAUAAGAAGAGGCAAUAAUAAAUCUCACCAGCAUCAAUAACAGCAUCCCAGUUGGUCUUCCCAUCAGUCUCAAACUGCUUCAAAUCCCAGGUCCCUCCAACCCAUUUGAGGUCCUCAAAUUUAGUCACCAGUACCACAUCCCCAGCAGCAGCAGCCCCAUUAGGCUGUGAAUCCAAAACAGCAGCCUCUGGGGCCUUCUCCUCUGCCUUUUCAGGCUCCACAGUG
This 283-nucleotide long non-coding RNA is filed under the name Vitis vinifera (wine grape). RNAcentral's name for it is "long non-coding RNA (VVIN_LNC007307)". The record is from RNAcentral. Lineage: Eukaryota; Viridiplantae; Streptophyta; Magnoliopsida; Vitales; Vitaceae.